UUAGGAAAACCUGAGUUCAACUCUGAUAUCAGAUAUCUACUAGCUGUGUGACUUUGGACAAGUCACUUAGUCUGUUUGUUUCAACUGUUUGUUCUCAACUGUAAAACCUUGCAGAGAUGUUGUGAGGACCAAGAGACAUAAUAUUUGCACACCAUGCUGGGCAGUCCUAUGCCGAGGUCUCCUGCAUCUCACAAUCAAUUCCAAAGUUCUUCUGAGAGACUGUAAGAGUAUCCUUGUGUCACUUCUUCUGACCUCGAUGUGAGAACUUGCCUUGUGUGAGUUUUCUGUAAGAUAAUUGUAUAGUCAAACAUACUUUUGGCCUUCUUAGAGAUGGAUGAACUAUCUUACUGGUAAACCCUGUGGAGUUUUUGAUUUUCAUUUAGCAGCUUCUGAAUUUCCCCAUCAUUUUCAUCAAACCAGUCUUGAUGUUUGUGAGUGUUCUGGCCCAGAUGAGUAAUUGCAGUGCUGUACGCCAAAUCUCUGAGAUCUGCCCACUGUUUUUCUGCUCCACUGUUGGCAGCCAUAUGUUGGCUCAGCUUUCCCUUCAUCUUAGCAACAAACUGUUUACACUCAGAGAAGUGCCCUAAUCUGUUAACAUUGUCUUCUGGUAGUCAUCUUGCCUUGGGGAUGCUACUUUUGUUGAAUGUGAAUGUUUAGCUUGUAGAAGAGAGGUCUAUGAUUGGUCCAGCACUCUGCCACACAUCAUCUUCUUUACUUAUAUCCAGUCUGUCUCUUUUCCUUACAAUAACAUGCACUUAUAUCCAGUCUGUCUCUUUUCCAUAUAAUAACAUUACAAUAAAUGCCAAUGUUUGCUUCAA
Molecule: non-coding RNA, 818 nt
Organism: Phascolarctos cinereus (koala)
Lineage: Eukaryota; Metazoa; Chordata; Mammalia; Diprotodontia; Phascolarctidae
Source: RefSeq, a predicted model, not a curated record